This 497-nucleotide ribosomal RNA is filed under the name uncultured bacterium. RNAcentral's name for it is "partial 16S ribosomal RNA". It matches the Rfam family "Bacterial small subunit ribosomal RNA", at positions 30 to 523 of the family's 1533-position model. The record is from RNAcentral.
AUUGAACGCUGGCGGCAUGCCUUACACAUGCAAGUCGAACGGUAACAGGUCUUCGGAUGCUGACGAGUGGCGAACGGGUGAGUAAUACAUCGGAACGUGCCUAGUAGUGGGGGAUAACUACUCGAAAGAGUGGCUAAUACCGCAUGAGAUCUACAGAUGAAAGCAGGGGAUCGCAAGACCUUGUGCUACUAGAGCGGCCGAUGGCAGAUUGGUAGUUGGUGGGAUAAAAGCUUACCAAGCCGACGAUCUGUAGCUGGUCUGAGAGGACGAUCAGCCACACUGGGACUGAGACACGGCCCAGACUCCUACGGGAGUCAGCAGUGGGGAAUUUUGGACAAUGGGCGCAAGCCUGAUCCAGCAAUGCCGCGUGCAGGAUGAAGGCCUUCGGGUUGUAAACUGCUUUUGUACGGAACGAAAAGCCCCGGGUUAAUACCCUGGGGUCAUGACGGUACCGUAAGAAUAAGCACCGGCUAACUACGUGCCAGCCGCCGCCGUAA